GUGGGGAAUAUUGGACAAUGGGCGCAAGCCUGAUCCAGCCAUGCCGCGUGAGUGAUGAAGGCCCUGGGGUUGUAAAGCUCUUUCACCGGAGAAGAUAAUGACGGUAUCCGGAGAAGAAGCCCCGGCUAACUUCGUGCCAGCAGCCGCGGUAAUACGAAGGGGGCUAGCGUUGUUCGGAAUUACUGGGCGUAAAGCGCACGUAGGCGGACAUUUAAGUCAGGGGUGAAAUCCCGGGGCUCAACCCCGGAACUGCCUUUGAUACUGGGUGUCUGGAGUAUGGAAGAGGUAAGUGGAAUUCCGAGUGUAGAGGUGAAAUUCGUAGAUAUUCGGAGGAACACCAGUGGCGAAGGCGGCUUACUGGUCCAUUACUGACGCUGAGGUGCGAAAGCGUGGGGAGCAAACAGGAUUAGAUACCCGAGUAGUCC
RNAcentral lists this ribosomal RNA (425 nucleotides) under uncultured bacterium. Its description in RNAcentral is "partial 16S ribosomal RNA". It matches the Rfam family "Bacterial small subunit ribosomal RNA", at positions 354 to 796 of the family's 1533-position model. The record is from RNAcentral.